AAGAUUCAGAAAAUAUCGAAUAGUCACCUGUCUCAGAGUCCUAUUUGUGCAGUUACAAUAAAAAGUCGGUGCUCUUAAUUGCCAAAAAUGCCAAAUGGAUCAGCCCAUUUCAGAAAAAGCUAUAAAUACAUUGACUUCUCUAUUAACUUCGAUAAAUUUCUCUCCCCACGCCCUAGAAUCCCCCUCCCCCUUUCCUUCGAUUUUUAGGCGUAAUUUUCGUUACAUAUUUUUUCCAUUUCAGAGAAUCACCGUCGCUUGCCGGAGUUGGUACAUUCUGGCCGAGCUACAUAAUUUUUUGGAUAAUUCUUUAGUUUUCUCGGAGAUACGUAGUUGGUGAUGAAUCAGAGACCACGAUUUCAACCGCCAGGCAUGGGCGGCCGUGGCGGCGGCGGGAGUAUGCAUCCAAAUAGUAACCAAAAUUUUCAAUACAGAAAUCCUCAGCAGUAUAUGCAGAGAGGUCCGACGCCCUAUCAGCAGCAGCAGCAGCAGCAGCAUUUUCAGAAUCAGCUAACGCAGCAGCAGUGGCUUAGAAGAAACCAGUUGCCGUCUACUGAUUCUCCCGUUGAAGAGGUUGAAAAGACUGUACAGUCCGAAGCCGUUGACCAGAGUUCACAAGAUUGGAAGGCUGGGUUGAAGACACCACUACCUGAUACUCGAUACAAAACAGAGGAUGUAACAGCAACUAAGGGAAAUGAAUUUGAAGACUACUUUCUCAAGCGUGAACUGCUUAUGGGAAUUUAUGAAAAGGGAUUUGAGAGACCAUCGCCAAUCCAGGAGGAGAGCAUUCCAAUUGCUCUAACUGGAAGUGACAUUUUGGCUAGGGCCAAAAAUGGAACUGGGAAGACUGCUGCCUUCUGCAUUCCUGCUUUAGAGAAAAUUGAUCAAGACAAGAAUGCGAUUCAAGUUGUUAUUCUCGUCCCAACUCGAGAAUUGGCCCUCCAAACAUCUCAGGUUUGUAAAGAACUCGGGAAGCACCUAAAAAUUGAAGUCAUGGUUACCACUGGAGGGACUAGCUUAAAGGACGACAUCAUGAGACUCUAUCAGCCAGUUCAUUUACUUGUUGGAACUCCUGGAAGAAUUCUUGACCUUGCAAAAAAGGGGGUGUGCAUUUUGAAAGAUUGCUCCAUGCUUGUCAUGGAUGAGGCUGAUAAGCUUCUUUCACCAGAAUUCCAACCUUCCAUUGAGCAGCUGAUCCAUUUCUUACCUGCAAAUCGCCAGAUUUUGAUGUUUUCUGCAACAUUCCCUGUUACUGUCAAGGACUUUAGAGAUAGACAUCUGCGCAAGCCAUAUGUUAUCAACCUCAUGGAUGAACUUACACUCAAGGGUAUUACACAAUUUUAUGCUUUUGUUGAAGAAAGGCAGAAGGUUCACUGCCUUAACACUCUCUUCUCAAAGCUUCAAAUUAACCAAUCAAUUAUAUUUUGCAACUCUGUAAAUCGUGUGGAACUUCUUGCCAAGAAAAUCACUGAGCUAGGCUUUUCAUGCUUCUACAUUCAUGCUAAGAUGCUUCAAGAUCAUAGGAACAGGGUGUUUCAUGACUUCCGUAAUGGUGCCUGCAGGAACCUUGUUUGUACUGAUUUGUUUACUAGAGGAAUAGAUAUUCAAGCUGUCAACGUUGUUAUCAAUUUUGAUUUCCCAAAGAACUCAGAAACGUACUUGCACAGGGUAGGACGGUCAGGGAGAUUUGGACACCUUGGUUUAGCUGUUAGCCUGGUUACUUAUGAGGAUCGCUUCAAUCUGUACAGAAUUGAACAAGAACUAGGAACAGAGAUCAAGCAAAUUCCUCCACAUAUAGAUCAAGCUAUAUAUUGCCAGUGAUCAGUUAGCUGCGGUUGAUGGUGCUGCCAGUGGUAUUACUCCAUACUGGAAGUUGGGAGUAGGAGGAUUACUGUGUGUUUCUCGCACUUUGCGACUAAAAGCUCCCUCUUGUUUUUCUGAAUGAUGCGGGUUUGCUCAUUUGAUAGAGAUGCCAGAUUUCACUUUCUGAAGGUGUGCACUCUUGAGUUUAAAAGAGAAGACUUGGCAGGUUCAUGGUUGCGGAACAACAAAGUGCAUAUUAGAUUCGGGCUUCUAAUGACUAAAGAAUCAGGUGGUACAUGUUGAACACUCAAAUCAGUCCUCAGUAAAUGGCUUGUCUUUUGUUGGGCAUCUGGAUUAUUUAGUAUUUGCCAUUUGUAGUUGUUUCCUUGGCUCUGUAUGUCUGUUGGGAACUGUGAGAGAUUUGGCCGUUGUUUGGAUCUGUGUAUGCCGUGCACAUGGGUUCAGUGUGCGGGCAUUGCCGUGAAGAAGUGGUGCUUACGGAUAUAAUGGAACAUCUUAAGUGAUGGAAAAGAGUUUGGUUGAAUUGAUUGUGAGAUGAGGGACUUCCUUUUCCUUUUAUAGCUUUUUCUGUAUUGACAAUGUUUCUUUUUGCUUUCUUCCUGGGUGUAGUAGUCAGAUGUUUCUUUUUGCUUUCUUCCUGGGUGUAGUAGUCAGUUUGGCUGAUUUUGAAGAGAGUAUGAUCCUAUGGUAGCGCAUUGUCUUUGUCUCUUGUCGUGGUGGAUACUGUUUUGUUGUGACACCUUAAAAAGGUGGAUAUUUUGUUGCCAAAAAAGUUGGGGGAUCUCCACAGCAUUUAGUUUGGCUGCAAAAUUCCGUCAUUUUUUUUAGAGAAUGUUGAAAACUAUUUUUCAUACAAUUGUUUUGAGUUUAAACUUUA
This is an RNA transcript of Capsicum annuum, 2698 nucleotides long. It is a transcript of the gene named DEAD-box ATP-dependent RNA helicase 8, with no coding region annotated. Lineage: Eukaryota; Viridiplantae; Streptophyta; Magnoliopsida; Solanales; Solanaceae. The record is from RefSeq and is a predicted model, not a curated record. The transcript has 11 exons.